GAAUGCUGGAGCUGACAAGUUAGAUCAAGAGAAACGUAUUGCUAUGAUCAGUGGUAAUGAUAUCAAAGGAACCAAUGAUGUACACAGUACUGCUACUGGACCAGCUCCUCCUACAGGUACA
Amphimedon queenslandica is the source of this 121-nucleotide long non-coding RNA. RefSeq lists it as uncharacterized. The transcript is spliced from 3 exons. The record is from RefSeq and is a predicted model, not a curated record. NCBI's taxonomy places the organism in Eukaryota, Metazoa, Porifera, Demospongiae, Haplosclerida, Niphatidae.